AUUGUCAUUUCACAAUAAACAGAAUCAUAUUAUGGAUUGCUGUCAUUAAAACUUAACAAACGAACCAUUUCUGGAGUUUUCUAUUAUUUAAUUUUCUAUAGAUUAAUAUGAAACAAAGCCAAAAUUUGUAAUAUUUUCAUCAUUAAUAUUUCAAUAAUAGACGAAAUCUUUAUUUAAAAAUUUCAAUGUGAAUUAAACAUGGAAGAGUUGAAGAUUUAAUUAAAAUUCGAAGAUUAAAUUUGUAAUUAAUACAGAAAUAUUUUCAUUGUUGUU
Molecule: long non-coding RNA, 273 nt
Organism: Centruroides sculpturatus (bark scorpion)
Lineage: Eukaryota; Metazoa; Arthropoda; Arachnida; Scorpiones; Buthidae
Exons: 3
Source: RefSeq, a predicted model, not a curated record